GUUAGAUCUUGGACAAAAAAA
Non-coding RNA from Caenorhabditis elegans, 21 nucleotides. NCBI's taxonomy places the organism in Eukaryota, Metazoa, Nematoda, Chromadorea, Rhabditida, Rhabditidae. The record is from Ensembl.